Molecule: non-coding RNA, 1077 nt
Organism: Peromyscus maniculatus bairdii (prairie deer mouse)
Lineage: Eukaryota; Metazoa; Chordata; Mammalia; Rodentia; Cricetidae
Source: RefSeq, a predicted model, not a curated record
GCCUGUGAACACCAGGCAUGCAAGUGGCACACAGACGUCCACACAGGUGAAACACCUAUAGACAUAAAAUGAGAAAUAAACAAAUCUCAAAAAGCGGUGGCCCUGGAUGUGCUCAGCCUGAAUCAGAAUAGCAGUUUUAGAGGGGAAGCACAUUUUAGAGGCACUGCAGAAGAGUCUCUUGCUUACACUCAGAUGCUUGACUAGUGCUGAAAGAGACUGGCCUCUCCCUGAGGACAGAAUCCUCUACUGUUCCUGACAGGGACAGGAUGAUAAGAGAAGUGGACCCAUCAGCAGACCAGACGUGUUCCAUGACAGCGCACAAAGAAGAGCCUGCUGCUGACAGGGGCCACUUCUGAGGUGACCUCCUGAAAGGACCCACUCUUAGGAAUCUCCGCAAUUCCCUCACCCAGAGAAAAGCUGAGGUGCAGAGCCAGUGAAGGAAGGCGUCUACUUACCAUGCGCUUGAGGAAGCUCCAGUGCUGGACCACGACCCACUGAUGGUUGACACUCCUGAACAGAUGCGUGACCCUGUGGGGCAAAUCCCGUAGAGCUCUUCUCUCUAGAUACCAGACACAUCCUCCCACCGAGCCUGUGACACGGAGACAAAGAAGAAGGCGUGUUGAAAUGGCGGCUGCUCACUCGAUAGCACCUACAUCAAAGCCAAGCAAGAUGCUGCUGUGUGGGGCUGGUCUCCAAACCACCUGAUUCCAACCUGGGAAUAAAUGGCACACAUCAGCACUAGGCUUAGGUCAGGGAUAGAAAACAUCACUUCCACAUCACUCUAGUUACAAGAAUUCAGGAGACUACCACACUGUAGAUGUUUCUGAGAAGAAAACACGACGCAAUGAGUUCACUUUUCAUAAAGUAGAAAAGGCAGUGCCCAUCUUUUCUCACUGAACGCUGGUAAACUCAAAUGAAGGUUUACAUUUCCUUUGUAUAGUUAAGAUAACUACAAGGAAGGGAAAAUGACUCCCAGUAAAAUAUGACUGUCAACCCAGUUAGGAAUAAGCUGCUUCUCUGUUGCAUCCAAAUUUGAAUUUUAAUCACUUUAUUAAACCUCUCAAAUCAACAAAUUCA